Molecule: long non-coding RNA, 2154 nt
Organism: Sinocyclocheilus rhinocerous
Lineage: Eukaryota; Metazoa; Chordata; Actinopteri; Cypriniformes; Cyprinidae
Exons: 2
Source: RefSeq, a predicted model, not a curated record
GACAUCAUGUUUGCAUUUACAUUAUCAUGGCUUCAUCCAGUCGGGUGGGUUUUGGAAAGCUAAUCUGUAGAUCUAGGUACAGUUCGGCAAGGAAUAAACAACCACAGCUCCAUGUCAUCCAUCUCCAUGUCUGGUGUCUGUACAACAGUGUGGCCUUUGAGGGUGAUACGCAGCCCAUCUCAUGACCUCCCUCUUCACCACACUCUGGAUCUUUAGGACUCCAACAGCCUUUGGCGUCAAUAGGCCUGACACCAAGAGUCACUUCAUUUACUUCACCGAUUACGGAGUCUGUUGAUCCAGGAGACGUCUGUGCCCUCCUGACCUCUGGAACUUUAUAGGAAAGACUGCAGAGUCUUCAGCCCUAGAGUGACACUAGAGUUCAAAUGGUGCUGCUACAGAAGACAAAAGGCCGUCCUUUACGCCGAAUUCUGACCUGUGGGGACACUAAAUGAAUGACUACAAAAACCAGAACACUACUGCGUGACGGGACAGCAGGGCACUUCUAUUCUGGGUGGAUGAACUGCAUUCAAUGGGUCUGUGUGUUUUUGUAUGCAUGUAAUUUUGCUCUAAAGCACGUCAAUUCACAUGUCGCAUUAUCAUCUGGGUAAUGGGCCGCUUGCUUUUGUCUCACUCAAGAUCUGUCUCGCAAUAACGUCACAUCUAGUAGACCCAUUGCCAUUAAUGUCUCUUUGUAUUCUGUAAAUAACAUGGCACAUGGUGUCCAAUCCCAGCAGCCCAUCCAAUUGGUUACUAGGAGAAGCUUGUCAAUACACAAACCUGUCUUGGAGAAGAUAAAAAGCUUUAAGCCUUAUCCAUUGCUCUUUUUUUAUGUUGGUUUUACAUGGGAAGUCAUUAGGUCUGCUUUAUUACUGUAUAAUUUGUGAAAGUAUAAUGGCACAGAGAUUAAUCCCUUUUUUUGUAUCUUAUCAUUGAUCAUGCUUUCAGUCAUGUAAUGGCUUUUUGGCCAAGGCUCGUCCCUUUUUCUGCUGCUGAAUUAUUGCUAAUCUAAUGUUGUUGGACUCCAGAAUGUCUAAGGUCGUCCUUGCAGGAGACGUUUCCAGGCUUUUAGCUUGGCAUUGUGGGCUUUUUGAUUGUUAGCACUACAGUUGUUAGCCUCUAAAGCCCUUGAUAAACUUUCCACUGUGUGAAAAAAUAAAAUAAAUGCUCCCUGUUACGGCAUAUAUUUGGCUUAACCAGGAAAAAAGUCUGGAUAAAACAGAAAAUACAGUUUUUUUUUACACUUUUAUUUUUACACUUUUAGUUUGAAACCAUAAUACACACUGCUGACUUUAGUUGUAGUAUAGAGCGCUAAGUAUAUGAGAACUGAGCGUCGGAAAGUAACUUCAGCUUUAGUUGUCUGUGAAGGGCAUUACACGGGUUUCCACUAUGCUUUGCUACUAAGUUUUUCUGCAAUAUUUUCUUCACACGCUCUUGUUUCUGUACUGUCCUGCGUUCAUCUCAGGUAUGAGCCUUUCAUUUCUUUCCUUUCUGUGUUUGAGGAGAAUUAUUAGUCAUAUUCUUUCAGGAAUUGAUGUAACGUUACUUGAUCUGUGUGAACGUGAAUAGGUCUGCCUGCACUGCAGCAGGUGAAUAAAUAAGGAACCACACCGACCUCAGAGCCGAAACGUUUCAUUGUUCUGUUUUUAGGUCUGUUUGUUCUACGGAUUUUUUAUUGAUCAAGUCAAAUUACUCCGCAUACGCUCAUAUCUUGACUGACAUGGCCUCCUACCACCAGUUCAAAUGUGUCCUCCUGUAUGUUCCUACCGCUCUCCUGUAAUGACAAAUCACGCUACUUUAGACUUGUCCAGGUGUGUGUGUGUGUGUAUAUAUAUAUAUAUAUAUAUAUAUAUAUAUGUAUAUGUGUGUGUGUGUGUUUCACUGUACUUUUGUAAAAGCACUGGUGCGAGUGUAGGAAACAAAAGGGAACAUUAUUUUUUUUCACCCCCACCUUGCGAAAUCUGCUCAUUUGUUCUCUGUUGGUAGGAAUGGUUUGAAAUGUUUGCUUAGCUAGAUAAUUAAUCAUUUGAUUAUUUAAAUGAGUGUAAGAAGUCCUGCAUAGACAUGUACAGGUCAGUUUUUGCCAGACUCGUUACAAGGUUUGAUUCUUUGGUUGUACAGAUCUAUUGAAAAAAGAGAAUAAAGUUAUUAAAAACA